Molecule: unclassified non-coding RNA, 315 nt
Filed under: uncultured fungus
Lineage: Eukaryota; Fungi
Description: sequence contains ITS2
Source: RNAcentral
AACGCACCUUGCGCUCCUUGGUACUCCGAGGAGCAUGCCCGUUUGAGUGUCUCGAUAUCAUCAGAAGCCCAUGCCUCUGUGGCUGGUGCUCCUGGACUUGGGUGUGCUGCUGGGUAACCCUGCCCGGCUCAUCCGAAAUGCAUUAGCGAGAGAUGUAGGCUCUGCCGGCUCUCUUUGGCGUGAUAAGGUCACCCGUCGAGAGGCCCCCGGUGGUGAGGCCUGCAGCCCUUUUGCUUCCAACCGUCCUCGCGGACAACAGCAGACUCCGGUCUGACAUCUGACCUCAAAUCGGGUAGGACUACCCGCUGAACUUAA